Molecule: ribosomal RNA, 460 nt
Filed under: uncultured bacterium
Lineage: Bacteria
Description: partial 16S ribosomal RNA
Rfam family: Bacterial small subunit ribosomal RNA
Source: RNAcentral
CCUACGGGAGGCAGCAGUGAGGAAUAUUGGUCAAUGGACGAGAGUCUGAACCAGCCAAGUAGCGUGAAGGAUGCCUGCUCUAUGGGUUGUAAACUUCUUUUAUAUGGGAAUAAAAUGUUCCACGUGUGGGAGUUUGUAUGUACCAUAUGAAUAAGGAUCGGCUAACUCCGUGCCAGCAGCCGCGGUAAUACGGAGGAUCCGAUCGUUAUCCGGAUUUAUUGGGUCUAAAGGGGGCGUAGGUGGAUUGUUAAGGCAGUUGUGAAAGUUUGCGGCUCAACCGUAAAAUUGCAGUUGAAACUGGCAGUCUUGAGUACAGUAGAGGUGGGCGGAAUUCGUGGUGUAGCGGUGAAAUGCUUAGAUAUCACGAAGAACUCCGAUUGCGAAGGCAGCUCACUGGACUGCAACUGACACUGAGGCUCGAAAGUGUGGGUAUCAAACAGGAUUAGAUACCCCUGUAGUC